AGUUUGCUGGGAGUACUUUACAGGUGAAAAAAUGCUGAUGAAUGCCACUGAGUACUGCCUUACAAACCAGCAUGAGUGUCAUGUGGUGGCAAACAGCAAUGCUCUUCACCUCUGCUGAACCAUGUGUACCUCUGCUGAACCACAAACCUCCUACAAACUUGUGACAAUGUGAAGCUAAUAGAAUACAGAUCCCUAUCCAGAUCUACUGGCAAAUGGAUUGACUUACAGAAUUGAUGCAGUACAAAUGAUCUGUACAGACCCUAUAAAAGGAACCUCCAAUUUGUUUAAAAUUGUCAGUCUUAUUCAUACAUUUUGACACUGAGGUCUGAUAGUGUAACGUAUGACAGGCUAAGGAUAAUACUGAGUAAUACUCCUAGAAAAAAAUUGUCGUUUAGUUUGUUGUGUCAGAGAGAAGAUCGAGA
Molecule: long non-coding RNA, 422 nt
Organism: Gymnogyps californianus (California condor)
Lineage: Eukaryota; Metazoa; Chordata; Aves; Accipitriformes; Cathartidae
Exons: 3
Source: RefSeq, a predicted model, not a curated record